RNAcentral lists this ribosomal RNA (176 nucleotides) under uncultured bacterium. Its description in RNAcentral is "partial 16S ribosomal RNA". It matches the Rfam family "Bacterial small subunit ribosomal RNA", at positions 337 to 528 of the family's 1533-position model. The record is from RNAcentral.
UCCUACGGGAGGCAGCAGUGAGGAACAUUGCACAAUGGAGGAAACUCUGAUGCAGCAACGCCGCGUGGAGGAUGACGCAUUUCGGUGUGUAAACUCCUUUUAAGAGGGAAGAUUAUGACGGUACCUCUUGAAUAAGCACCGGCUAACUCCGUGCCAGCAGCCGCGGUAAUAAUCUC